This 483-nucleotide ribosomal RNA is filed under the name uncultured bacterium. RNAcentral describes it as "bacterial SSU rRNA". It matches the Rfam family "Bacterial small subunit ribosomal RNA", at positions 30 to 507 of the family's 1533-position model. The record is from RNAcentral.
AUUGAACGCUGGCGGCAGGCCUAACACAUGCAAGUCGAGCGCGAAAGCACUUCGGUGUGAGUAGAGCGGCGGACGGGUGAGUAAUGCUUGGGAAUCUGCCCAGUAGUGGGGGAUAACCUGUGGAAACGCAGGCUAAUACCGCAUACGUCCUACGGGAGAAAGCAGGGGAUCUUCGGACCUUGCGCUAUUGGAUGAGCCCCAAGUCGGAUUUAGCUUGUUGGUGGGGUAAUGGCUCACCAAGGCAACGAUCCGUAGCUGGUCUGAGAGGAUGAUCAGCCACACUGGGACUGAGACACGGCCCAGACUCCUACGGGAGGCAGCAGUGGGGAAUAUUGCACAAUGGGCGAAAGCCUGAUGCAGCCAUGCCGCGUGUGUGAAGAAGGCUCUAGGGUUGUAAAGCACUUUCAGUAGGGAGGAAAUGUUAACGAUUAAUACUCGUUAGCUUUGACGUUACCUACAGAAGAAGCACCGGCAAACUCCGUG